This 535-nucleotide long non-coding RNA is filed under the name Equus caballus (horse). RNAcentral describes it as "lncRNA (ENSECAG00000039845.3)". Lineage: Eukaryota; Metazoa; Chordata; Mammalia; Perissodactyla; Equidae. The record is from RNAcentral.
GGGAGCCUUCAGCACGGAAUCCCAUAUGCUGCCAGUUAGAAGUUAAGCUAGAGUCCACAAAUGCGUGUUUGCACCUCCGCCUCGGGGCCGCAGGAACCUGGACUCAGGGACUAUUUAGACAACACUGAGUUGGAGAAUGGAUUGUGGCUAGCUGGACACUGGGCCCUCCGCUGGCACUGUGGUCACUGCUGGCCCCAGUGCCACCAAUGCCACAGGACACUGGAUGCCAUAGCCACCAACUCCACCAGAAGGAGUUCCGAUUAUGUUGUUCAGUCUGGAUUUAGAAGUCUCAGGAUGAAGGGGAGAUGGGAGACUAGAAAACAGAAAUUGCUCAAAAAGGAAUUGAGCCCUUUGGAUGGGAAACAGGAACUCCGGUGGAAUGCAGGAGGAAGGAUUGAGCAAGAGAGAAGCAGCUGCCAACCUAUCCGAAUGAAAACAAACACCUUGAACACGACAGUGGACUUGAAAUGUUACUAAACUUUUUGGCAGGUUUCUCCCCACUAACAAGCCCGACGCAGGAAUACAAGAAAAGAAU